CAGUGGGGAAUAUUCGGACAAUGGGCGAAAGCCUGAUCCAGCCAUGCCGCGUGUGUGAAGAAGGCCUUUUGGUUGUAAAGCACUUUAAGUGGGGAGGAAAAGCUUAUGGUUAAUACCCAUAAGCCCUGACGUUACCCACAGAAUAAGCACCGGCUAACUCUGUGCCAGCAGCCGCGGUAAUACAGAGGGUGCAAGCGUUAAUCGGAAUUACUGGGCGUAAAGCGCGCGUAGGUGGUUAUUUAAGUCAGAUGUGAAAGCCCCGGGCUUAACCUGGGAACUGCAUCUGGUACUGGAUAACUAGAGUAGGUGAGAGGGGAGUAGAAUUCCAGGUGUAGCGGUGAAAUGCGUAGAGAUCUGGAGGAAUACCGAUGGCGAAGGCAGCUCCCUGGCAUCAUACUGACACUGAGGUGCGAAAGCGUGGGUAGCAAACAGGAUUAGAUACCCUGGUAGUCCACGCCGUAACGAUGUCUACCAGUCGUUGGGUCUUUUAAAGACUUAGUGACGCAGUUAACGCAAUAAGUAGACCGCCUGGGGAGUACGGCCGCAAGGUUA
RNAcentral lists this ribosomal RNA (552 nucleotides) under uncultured bacterium. Its description in RNAcentral is "bacterial SSU rRNA". It matches the Rfam family "Bacterial small subunit ribosomal RNA", at positions 352 to 896 of the family's 1533-position model. The record is from RNAcentral.